GAAAACAUUCAAAAAUAAAGGCUCAAAAUAUCAAUUUAAGAACAAGAAAUGAAAACAUAAAUUUUAAAGUAUGCAGAAUAUAGAGCUGAAACAUAAAGAAAGAAAGAACUGUAUCAAACCAAAAGAUUCACAUUAAGAAGCAAAAGAGAGAGUAGAGAUAGAGUGAAAAUUUUAAAAUUUCAUUAAUAAAACAGAGGAAUACAAAAACAAGAACUGAAAUAUUUUUGCCUUCUUUUCUUCCUCAUCUUCUUAUCUCUCUCAAGCUCACUUUCAGCUCUGCUACACAGCACACUCAGCUCUAACAUUUUCAUAGUAGAUGCUUCCUUUUUAUAAGCAAAGGAAUGACUUUUGCUAAUCGACAACGCCCAUACUUACACCAUGCUUAGGUAUGGCUAUGUUGCUUUUCUUGUACACGAACUAAAAAUUUUAUCAACUGUCAACACUCCUCCUUUAUGGGAUUUUUGCUGGAGUUGAACAUUUUCAUUUUGGACGUCCUUUCUAGCAAAUUAUAGCAGUUUUAGGACAUGCUUGAGUCCUCUCUAACAAGUUUAAGCAGUUUAAUGACUUGCUAAGGUCUAAUCAUCAAGCUUUCUAAAUUUUAGAAACUUGCAGGUCUACUGCAACAUUUUUCAGUUUUAAGACUUGCUAGUCUGUCAAAGUUUAUGAAGUUUAUGGACAUGCAAAGAUCUCCCCAACUUGAUUUUUUUUUUCAGUUUAGAGACUUGCUGGUCUUUACAUAACAAGAAAAUUCAAAGCUUUUCACCCUCGAUGGUGGAUGAAAAUGGAGGAGAAAUGUUCUUGAUAAAUUGUGAAUCAUUCUCAACAAAAAAUAGUUAGAAAAGAUUUUGAAAUAGGC
This 856-nucleotide unclassified non-coding RNA is filed under the name Hevea brasiliensis (rubber tree). The record is from RNAcentral. Lineage: Eukaryota; Viridiplantae; Streptophyta; Magnoliopsida; Malpighiales; Euphorbiaceae.